This is an unclassified non-coding RNA of Stegastes partitus (bicolor damselfish), 65 nucleotides long. The record is from Ensembl. Lineage: Eukaryota; Metazoa; Chordata; Actinopteri; Pomacentridae.
UUGCACUCGAGUUAGACGCGGCUGGAGGCCAAGGUCAAGUUGAAAGUUGCAGUCUGGCCAAAUAG